GGGACCGUGGGGUAGCGGUAUCCUUCCAGCCUUGGGUGCUGGUAACCCCGGUUCGAAUCCGGGCGGUCCCA
RNAcentral lists this transfer RNA (71 nucleotides) under Halosimplex litoreum. RNAcentral describes it as "tRNA-Pro". It matches the Rfam family "tRNA". From Rfam's summary of the family: Transfer RNA (tRNA) molecules are approximately 80 nucleotides in length. Their secondary structure includes four short double-helical elements and three loops (D, anti-codon, and T loops). The record is from RNAcentral. Lineage: Archaea; Methanobacteriati; Methanobacteriota; Halobacteria; Halobacteriales; Haloarculaceae.